CUGCUCGCUUCAGCAGCACAUAUACUAAAAUUGGAACGAUACAGAGAAGAUUAGCAUGGCCCCCGCGCGAGAGGGGCACUAUUCAUUCUAGGCUGGUAGCAAAAUUUU
Small nuclear RNA from Jaculus jaculus (lesser Egyptian jerboa), 108 nucleotides. The record is from Ensembl. Lineage: Eukaryota; Metazoa; Chordata; Mammalia; Rodentia; Dipodidae.